Molecule: ribosomal RNA, 442 nt
Filed under: uncultured bacterium
Lineage: Bacteria
Description: partial 16S ribosomal RNA
Rfam family: Bacterial small subunit ribosomal RNA
Source: RNAcentral
CCUACGGGAGGCAGCAGUGGGGAAUAUUGGGCAAUGGACGCAAGUCUGAACCAGCAACGCCGCGUGAAGGAAGAAGGCUCUCGGGUUUUAAACUUCUUUUAAGGGGGAAGAGCAGAAGACGGUACCCCUUGAAUAAGCCACGGCUAACUACGUGCCAGCAGCCGCGGUAAUACGUAGGUGGCAAGUGUUGUCCGGAUUUACUGGGUGUAAAGGGCGUGCAGCCGGGAAGACAAGUCAGAUGUGAAAGCCCGCGGCUCAACCGCGGAACUGCAUUUGAAACUGUUUUUCUUGAGUAUCGGAGAGGUAAUCGGAAUUCCUAGUGUAGCGGUGAAAUGCGUAGAUAUUAGGAAGAACACCAGUGGCGAAGGCAGAUUACUGGACGACAACUGACGGUGAGGCGCGAAAGCGUGGGGAGCAAACAGGAUUAGAUACCCCAGUAGUC